CAAUAGCGUAUAUUAAAGUUGUUGCAGUUAAAAAGCUCGUAGUUGGAUUUGUGGUGUACUUCGGCGGCCCGUCACUAUGUGAUGGAGCUUGCUGAAGUCGCCAUCCUUGGGUGGAUCCUGUGUGGCAUUAAGUUGUCGUGCAGGGGAUGCCCAUCGUUUACUGUGAAAAAAUUAGAGUGUUCAAAGCAGGCUUAUGCCGUUGAAUAUAUUAGCAUGGAAUAAUAAGAUAGGACCUUGGUACUAUUUUGUUGGUUUGCGCACCAAGGUAAUGAUUAAUAGGGACAGUUGGGGGUAUUCGUAUUUCAUUGUCAGAGGUGAAAUUCUUGGAUUUACGGAAGACGAACUACUGCGAAAGCAUUUACCAAGGAUGUUUUCAUUA
Molecule: ribosomal RNA, 379 nt
Filed under: uncultured eukaryote
Lineage: Eukaryota
Description: partial 18S ribosomal RNA
Rfam family: Eukaryotic small subunit ribosomal RNA
Source: RNAcentral